Molecule: ribosomal RNA, 255 nt
Filed under: uncultured bacterium
Lineage: Bacteria
Description: partial 16S ribosomal RNA
Rfam family: Bacterial small subunit ribosomal RNA
Source: RNAcentral
UACGUAGGGGCAAGCGUUGUCCGGAUUCAUUGGGCGUAAAGAGCGUGUAGGCGGCCAGGGUAGGUCGGUUGUGAAAACUGGAGGCUCAACCUUCAGAGGUCGACCCGAAACCAUCUGGCUAGAGUCCGGGAGAGGAGAGUGGAAUUCCUGGUGUGAGCGGUGAAAUGCGCAGAUAUCAGGAGGAACACCGGUGGCGAAGGCGGUGAUCUGGGCCGACACUGACGCUGUAGAGCGAAAGCGUGGGGAGCGAACAGG